UUACAUAACAUGUCGUUUGGUGUAGUGAGAACUACUUAAAAGGGAAGUGUGAUGUAAGUUCACCACGGUACCCGCCACUGUGAAACGGAGCAGCAAAUCAGCACCACUGCAAUAUGCGGGAAGGGAUUUGCUUUGCGAUGAUGUGAAGUCAGGAGACCUGCCAGACGGUCACGAAGUGU
RNAcentral lists this non-coding RNA (179 nucleotides) under Lysinibacillus odysseyi. Lineage: Bacteria; Bacillati; Bacillota; Bacilli; Caryophanales; Bacillaceae. The record is from RNAcentral. RNAcentral also lists the same sequence under 1 other name.